This 970-nucleotide ribosomal RNA is filed under the name uncultured bacterium. RNAcentral describes it as "bacterial SSU rRNA". It matches the Rfam family "Bacterial small subunit ribosomal RNA", at positions 68 to 1053 of the family's 1533-position model. The record is from RNAcentral.
GAGAAAGGCACCUUCGGGUGCCGAGUAAAGCGGCGGACGGGUGAGUAACACGUGAGUGAUGUGCCGUCGGGCGGGGGAUAGCCCACCGAAAGGUGGACUAAUACCGCAUGAGACCACAGGCCCUGCGGGGCCAGGGGUCAAAGACUUCGGUCGCCCGACGAUCAGCUCGCGGCCCAUUAGGUAGCCGGUAGGGUAAAGGCCUACCGGGCCGAAGAUGGGUAGCUAGUCUGAGAGGACGAUUAGCCACACUGGGACUGAGACACGGCCCAGACUCCUACGGGAGGCAGCAGCGGGGAAUCUUGCGCAAUGGAGGCAACUCUGACGCAGCGACGCCGCGUGUGUGACGAAGGCCUUCGGGUCGUAAAGCACUGUCAGGCGGAAAGAAAGCCCGACUUUGAGUCGGGUUGACGGUACCGCCGAAGGAAGCACCGGCCAACUCCGUGCCAGCAGCCGCGGUAAGACGGAGGGUGCAAGCGUUGUUCGGAAUCAUUGGGCGUAAAGCGCGCGCAGGCGGCCGAGCAUGUCCGGUGUGAAACCCCGGGGCUUAACUCCGGAGGCGCAUCGGAAACUGUUCGGCUUGAGUCCGGGAGGGGCCUGUGGAAUUCCUGGUGUAGGGGUGAAAUCCGUAGAGAUCAGGAGGAACACCGGCGGCGAAAGCGACAGGCUGGACCGGGACUGACGCUGAGGCGCGAAAGCGCGGGUAGCGAACAGGAUUAGAUACCCUGGUAGUCCGCGCCAUAAACGUUGUUCACUGGACGUUGCGUUCGUCUAGAAUGCAGUGUCGAAGCCAACGCGUUAAGUGAACCGCCUGGGGAGUACGGCCGCAAGGCUAAACUCAAGGAAUUGACGGGGGCCCGCACAGCGUGGAGCAUGUGGUUUAUUCGAGCACGCGAGACUUUACUGGGUUGACAUCCGCGAACGGCCCAAAAGCCGGUGCCCUCGGGAGCGGGUGACAGUGUUGCAUGCUGUC